AUUGAACGCUGGCGGCAUGCCUAACACAUGCAAGUCGAACGGUAACAGCGAGAGCUUGCUCUCGGCUGACGAGUGGCGGACGGGUGAGUAACGCGUAGGGAUCUGCCUUGCAGCGGGGGACAACCUUAGGAAACUGGGGCUAAUACCGCAUAUACUCUUUUGAGGAAAGGUGGCUUUCGGGCUAUCGCUGCAAGAUGAACCUGCGUUAGAUUAGCUAGUUGGUGAGGUAAAGGCUCACCAAGGCGACGAUCUAUAGCUGGUCUGAGAGGAUGAGCAGCCACACUGGGACUGAGACACGGCCCAGACUCCUACGGGAGGCAGCAGUGGGGAAUAUUGGACAAUGGGGGCAACCCUGAUCCAGCAAUGCCGCGUGUGUGAAGAAGGCCUGCGGGUUUGUAAAAGCACUUUCGUUGGGGAGGAUGGUGCGCAGUUCAAAUAGGGCUGCGUAUUGACGUUA
This 457-nucleotide ribosomal RNA is filed under the name uncultured bacterium. RNAcentral describes it as "bacterial SSU rRNA". It matches the Rfam family "Bacterial small subunit ribosomal RNA", at positions 30 to 477 of the family's 1533-position model. The record is from RNAcentral.